ACGCUGGCGGCGUGCCUAAUACAUGCAAGUAGAACGCUGAAGGAGGAGCUUGCUUCUCCGGAUGAGUUGCGAACGGGUGAGUAACGCGUAGGUAACCUGCCUGGUAGCGGGGGAUAACUAUUGGAAACGAUAGCUAAUACCGCAUAAGAGUAGAUGUUGCAUGACAUUUGCUUAAAAGGUGCAAUUGCAUCACUACCAGAUGGACCUGCGUUGUAUUAGCUAGUUGGUGGGGUAACGGCUCACCAAGGCGACGAUACAUAGCCGACCUGAGAGGGUGAUCGGCCACACUGGGACUGAAACACGGCCCAAACUCCUACGGGAGGCAGCAGUAGGGAAUCUUCGGCAAUGGACGGAAGUCUGACCGAGCAACGCCGCGUGAGUGAAGAAGGUUUUCGGAUCGUAAAGCUCUGUUGUAAGAGAAGAACGAGUGUGAGAGUGGAAAGUUCACACUGUGACGGUAUCUUACCAGAAAGGGACGGCUAACUACGUGCCAGCAGCCGCGGUAAUACGUAGGUCCCGAGCGUUGUCCGGAUUUAUUGGGCGUAAAGCGAGCGCAGGCGGUUAGAUAAGUCUGAAGUUAAAGGCUAUGGCUUAACCAUAGUACGCUUUGGAAACUGUUUAACUUGAGUGCAAGAGGGGAGAGUGGAAUUCCAUGUGUAGCGGUGAAAUGCGUAGAUAUAUGGAGGAACACCGGUGGCGAAAGCGGCUCUCUGGCUUGUAACUGACGCUGAGGCUCGAAAGCGUGGGGAGCAAACAGGAUUAGAUACCCUGGUAGUCCACGCCGUAAACGAUGAGUGCUAGGUGUUAGACCCUUUCCGGGGUUUAGUGCCGCAGCUAACGCAUUAAGCACUCCGCCUGGGGAGUACGACCGCAAGGUUGAAACUCAAAGGAAUUGACGGGGGCCCGCACAAGCGG
This 915-nucleotide ribosomal RNA is filed under the name uncultured bacterium. Its description in RNAcentral is "bacterial SSU rRNA". It matches the Rfam family "Bacterial small subunit ribosomal RNA", at positions 33 to 932 of the family's 1533-position model. The record is from RNAcentral.